UACGUAGGGUGCGAGCGUUAGUCGGAAUUACUGGGCGUAAAGCGUGCGCAGGCGGUUUUGUAAGACAGAUGUGAAAUCCCCGGGCUUAACCUGGGAACUGCAUUUGUGACUGCAAGGCUAGAGUACGGCAGAGGGGGGUAGAAUUCCACGUGUAGCAGUGAAAUGCGUAGAUAUGUGGAGGAAUACCGAUGGCGAAGGCAGCCCCCUGGGUCGAUACUGACGCUCAUGCACGAAAGCGUGGGGAGCAAACAGG
This 253-nucleotide ribosomal RNA is filed under the name uncultured bacterium. RNAcentral's name for it is "partial 16S ribosomal RNA". It matches the Rfam family "Bacterial small subunit ribosomal RNA", at positions 524 to 776 of the family's 1533-position model. The record is from RNAcentral.